Molecule: small nuclear RNA, 107 nt
Organism: Gorilla gorilla gorilla (western lowland gorilla)
Lineage: Eukaryota; Metazoa; Chordata; Mammalia; Primates; Hominidae
Source: Ensembl
CUACUCACUUCAGCAGCAAAUAUACUAAAAUUGUGAUGAUACAGAGAAGAUUACCAUGGCCCCUACACAAAGAUGACACACAAAUUCAUGAAGCAUUCUAUAUUUUU